CACAAACAAACUAGCAAGUUUAAAAAAUUCAGAAAUUCGAUGCAACUCCGCUCAAAUCAUAAUUUUCCGCAUAACCCUUCGUAUACAUUGUAAAACGGUGAUUAAGCACCUUUAAAAAGAGUGUUUAUUUUUGUCAACGAAAUCCAUCAAGAAGCCAAGGUUUUUCGUACUUUUCAUUAUCUUUCACAUUCUCGGGUUCGCACUUACCUCUUCCUCUUCUUUUUCAACACCAGAUUCCACCAAGGGAACUGUCCGCUGAAGUGAAGCUUCUUCAUCAAAGUCAGGUAUAUCACGUUCGAAAUAAAUCGGCAUAACGGUUUUAAUACCGACCUUCCGUUGACGAUAUGCCCUAGCAUUUUUGGAGACGGAACUCAUGAUAAUAUUGGUAUCGUUGGACUCCAAUCACUUAAAUCUAUCCAACCGUAAAAUUAUAAGAUACUCGUCUCACUCAAAAUCUUGUAGAAACAGGCGCUAAAUCCUGGCGUAGUUGACGGCCGUCGUCGUUGGUGUGUCAAACCACUAGGGGUUAACAAACCGAAUGAAAUUUUUCAUAAACCUCUUCACUGCGAUAAUUUACCGAGGAGCAACGUAACCAAAAAUAAUUUUCUAAUACGCUCGUACCGUUAAUAUACAACGUAUUGUAGCGAUAUUUACUGGAGAUUCCAGGUGUAAACAAUGGAAGAAACCGAUGGCAGGAGAAACAAAAGAGGAAAUUGUCAACCAUCAGUUGAAGUGAAGUCCAUAAAACUCCAUAGUGAAUUAUAAGGAAUCAAGU
Non-coding RNA from Schizosaccharomyces pombe (fission yeast), 775 nucleotides. Lineage: Eukaryota; Fungi; Ascomycota; Schizosaccharomycetes; Schizosaccharomycetales; Schizosaccharomycetaceae. The record is from the annotation of a GenBank genome assembly.